This is a long non-coding RNA of Vidua macroura (Pin-tailed whydah), 971 nucleotides long. RefSeq lists it as uncharacterized. Lineage: Eukaryota; Metazoa; Chordata; Aves; Passeriformes; Viduidae. The record is from RefSeq and is a predicted model, not a curated record. The transcript is spliced from 3 exons.
CCAGCCAAGGCCGCAAACCCUCUGCAACGUGAUCCUGUGUGCUUGCGGGGGGAAAAAGCAGGCAGGAAUAAGGAAAAGAAACUCCUCUCAAACCUUCCCAGAGGCCUGGGAGCUCCUCGGGAACACAUAAAGCGGCUGCUGUUAAUCCUUCACAAAGAAAAUGAGGGAAGCGCUGACGGCACCCAUUGGUUUUAAUUUUCGCGUUGGCCGUGGAAGAAAACUGAGUGUGGCCCAAACUUCAUCCUGAGCCUGUGGACACCUGACGCUGCCAGCAGAGCUGAGCAGCACAGGGAAGAAUUUAAAUGCCCUGCAUUUCAGUGCAUGGAAGCUGACUUCUGCAAAAAGCAGCAAAACAUCACCAAAAUGAACACACUGAGCUGCUCUUUCGAAGCAGCAAGAGAGCUCUGUGCACAGUGGCCAGAAGCAAGAACACUUCUGAGCUGAGUGCUCUCCAACCCGAGAAUGAGAAGAUGAUUCCCUCCCUCCAAAAUCUCACAUCAAGGAAAAAAUAAGCCUGUAUAACUUGGCAGGAAUCACUGUAAUCACAGCAUUUCUGCGACUGAGCUUAUAUCAAGUGACUUUUAUGCCAGUUCCUGAGGAGAAGAGAGUGCCUGUGAGAUAUCAGCAAUUUACCUGACACCCGUGAGACUUAUGAACAUUCCUAAUUCUUUUAGGAAGCUCAGAACAAGUAAUUUUGCAUUUUGGUGCUUAAAAUAAUUCCUAGGGUUAAGUGAAAUUCCUGCCUCCAUUAAAAAAAAAAAAAUUACUUUGUGAGAUGAAUUGGGGUUCUUUUCAAUGUUAAAAAAACCUGAUUUCCACCUGAGGAGGAAAUCAAGUUCCUGCCUGCAUAGACGACUCACUUGUGCACGUGCACACACAUAGAGACAAUUUCCCUCUCACUUUUAGUCCCACAUUUUGACUUAAAGGAGAAAGCUACCCAACAAAUAUAUAAACAAAUAGCAAACAUGUCA